Molecule: long non-coding RNA, 1043 nt
Filed under: Helianthus annuus (common sunflower)
Lineage: Eukaryota; Viridiplantae; Streptophyta; Magnoliopsida; Asterales; Asteraceae
Description: sRNA HanXRQr2_Chr16g0774831
Source: RNAcentral
GAAGUCAAUCUGGCGAGCCUCCGGUGUCUCCUUUAGCACGUGACUUGUACCAAUCGAAGGCUUAAAACAUGGCGAACCCUAUGGCGGUGUUCGAUUCUCUAAUCGUGCGUCGGUAGUAGUUCUGUCAAGACUAAAGUGUGAAAAGCGUUAGGGCUUUUGGUAAAUGGAACAACAGUGAUAGUGUGAAAAGCGUUAGGUUCUUCGGAUGACUAUCAGAGAGGGCUGACAAGUAGAACAUGGUGUCGGAGACUCACAACCAAGUUGUAUGAUGGACUUUCCUUAUCACUAGGCCUAGGCAUCAUUUUCAGAGUCCGAGGAGCUUAACAUCUUGGUGCAGUCAGGCUCUAUGUGUUUGGAAAUUCAAUAAUUAAGAUGACGUUUGCUAAGUACCUCCCAGCAGUCGAUCUUACAGCUAACAUGAGAGAGCUUCUAACGGAGUUGUAAUUGUAACCGAAAAGAAGCUCCCAUCCAUUUUAGUCGAUGAGACAUCGGUGCAAAAGAUCCAGAUUUUGACUCCUAAUAUUGGAGUUGUUUACAGCUAUUUAAGAUGAAUUUGUCUUAGAGCUUUCGCUUGCACGUUUGAAGGCUUAUGCUGAAUUUGUCUUUGGUAUGGGUUUAUAUCAGGGUGUUCCGUCUACUCUUGCUUUCAUAGCCUUCGAACUCCCACCUAAUGGAGCUAUUGGCACUCGGAUUCUGGAGUUCCUAUUUCGCUCCAGAUCUGAUAUGAUUGCAGGUGAUCAAUCGCCAGAAGCAUUGAUGAGGCUAUAACAACUGGCACUACACUCUUGUUGUCAUCUUCUACAUUUGUUCUACAGGUAUAUUGCUCAUAUAUGUAUUACAAUAUAAAUGAAAGAGCUCAUGCAUUUCUUUAACGUGUUUGAAAAAUUUUGUAAUUUGAUUUACUGGAAUGAAAGUCCCCUUGUAACACUACCGUAAUAUCUUAAUCUUUCUUUUUUUGCUUGUUGUGUCCCGAUAGAAUUUGCUUAGGAAGUAGCUUAAUAAAAGUGCGUUUGGGUCAUGACCCAUUUAACUAAGAAUUAGAC